AUACAAGCUGAGAAGAGGAACGAACUUCGCGCAGCGCCGCAGAGAGGAAGCGGCUGGUGUAAGCUUCCGCAAAGCCGAAGUUCCCGUCGCCUCCGAGCCGCCGGGCUGAACGCACAGUAAGCCCCGCCGGGUCCUCCCGUUACAGAGCUGCGAGUGCCCGCGCAAGCGGGAAUACAGGUGGUACCACGGAGAUCUUCUUCGCCCUGAGU
Molecule: non-coding RNA, 209 nt
Filed under: Bacillota bacterium
Lineage: Bacteria; Bacillati; Bacillota
Description: Firmicutes bacterium T-box sequence
Rfam family: T-box leader
About the family: Uncharged tRNA acts as the effector for transcription antitermination of genes in the T-box leader family. T-boxes are found upstream of many aminoacyl-tRNA synthetase genes and some amino acid biosynthetic genes usually in Gram-positive bacteria.
Source: RNAcentral